RNAcentral lists this long non-coding RNA (1460 nucleotides) under Salvia miltiorrhiza (redroot sage). Its description in RNAcentral is "long non-coding RNA (SMIL_LNC004841)". Lineage: Eukaryota; Viridiplantae; Streptophyta; Magnoliopsida; Lamiales; Lamiaceae. The record is from RNAcentral.
AAUUAACUUCUCUCUCUUAUCUCCUCACGCUCACAUACAUCUAUAUUCUCUCUCUGCGUUCCUUCUCUCUCUCUCUCUCAACUCUGUCGUCCUCUUUCUCUCUCCCUGUCUCCGGUGAGCGUCGCCGGCCUUCGCCGCCUCCGGCGCGGCGAGGUCGGCCUCUCCUCUCCCCCUUCCUUUCUUUCCAUUUCUCCUUUCCCUAUGUGUCAAUCCCCAAAUUAUAAAAUCAAAAUCCCCGCCGUCGUCUCUGUCACGCCGCCGCCUCUUCUGACUCCGGUAAGUCCCUGUCUCUCUCUCUACUUCUAUCUCUGCUUUCUCCCUCGAACUCCCUCUUUCUCUGCCCUUUCUCGAUCUCUCGCUCUCUCUCUCUGUCCAGGGCGCGGCGGCCGCCGCAAGCCACGACAGCGCUUGCAGCGCCGGUGCUCGCUGCCGCCUGCCCCGCUCCUCUCUCCCUCUAGCUCGUUCUGCCUUUGUCCCUUCUUCAUGCUGUCUGUCUCUAUCUCACUAUCUCUCACUCAAUCUCCCUCUUUCUUUCGACUGUCGGCAGCCACCGCGGCCGCCGUGGCGCGGGCAGCGCCGGCGGCCACCACCGCCAGCCAUGCCUCCGUUGUGAUGGCUUGCGGCUGCUGCUGCUACUGCUAAUCCCCCCUCUCCUUCUUCCUUCCCUCUUCUCUAUUUCCCAAUUCAAAAUCUCAUUCCAGCAAACUUCUAAUUAAUUUCUAUUUCAGUUUCAACAUCACAAACUAAUAAAUCUCAAAUUAUUUUCUGUUUCAGGAAUCGACCGGCGUCGUCGUUGCUUGAGACGUCUCCGGCGCAACAGUCCUUUAUCAGCUCAAGAUCCUAUUUUUAUGAUUGUUUUCCUUGUUGCUUACUGGAAAGCUAAAGUUUUGAUAGAAGAAAGUAUACUGUUGUUAGUUAUGCUAUACUUAACUUGUUUGUUGUAGUUAGGUCCAUCUUUCCUAUUGCUAAAAGCAUUCUGUACAUGUAUUGAACAAAGAAAAACUACCUUCUUUGUUGUGAACUGCUGCGGGGAUGUUUGUNGUUUUCCUUGUUGCUUACUGGAAAGCUAAAGUUUUGAUAGAAGAAAGUAUACUGUUGUUAGUUAUGCUAUACUUAACUUGUUUGUUGUAGUUAGGUCCAUCUUUCCUAUUGCUAAAAGCAUUCUGUACAUGUAUUGAACAAAAGAAAAACUACCUUCUUUGUUGUGAACUGCUGCGGGGAUGUUUGUAUUCUGAUGAAUAUUUGUUUGCUGUUGGGAAUUUGCAGAAUGGGGGAAAAUUGGUGUCACGCUCAACUCCUCUUUUCUUAUACUGUUUUAAGUCAGCAGAAUGGGAAGAAUGAGUCACGUAUGCUACGUGUUUUUUUAAGGAUCAGAUAUGAUCUAAUGAGUUUUAUAUAAUCAGUAAAUCUUAUAGAAAUUAACUGGUUUGGCAUUCCUACUAUCAUUAUCAACUAUUGAC